CCUACGGGUGCAGCAGUGGGGAAUAUUGGACAAUGGGCGAAAGCCUGAUCCAGCCAUGCCGCGUGUGUGAAGAAGGCCUUCGGGUUGUAAAGCACUUUCAGUUGGGAAGAAAGCCUUGGGGCUAAUACCCUCGAGGAAGGACAUCACCCACAGAAGAAGCACCGGCUAACUCCGUGCCAGCAGCCGCGGUAAUACGGAGGGUGCGAGCGUUAAUCGGAAUUACUGGGCGUAAAGCGCGCGUAGGCGGUCUGAUAAGCCGGUUGUGAAAGCCCCGGGCUCAACCUGGGAACGGCAUCCGGAACUGUCAGGCUAGAGUGCAGGAGAGGAAGGUAGAAUUCCCGGUGUAGCGGUGAAAUGCGUAGAGAUCGGGAGGAAUACCAGUGGCGAAGGCGGCCUUCUGGACUGACACUGACGCUGAGGUGCGAAAGCGUGGGUAGCAAACAGGAUUAGAUACCCGAGUAGUC
RNAcentral lists this ribosomal RNA (464 nucleotides) under Vreelandella stevensii. Its description in RNAcentral is "partial 16S ribosomal RNA". It matches the Rfam family "Bacterial small subunit ribosomal RNA", at positions 338 to 795 of the family's 1533-position model. The record is from RNAcentral. Lineage: Bacteria; Pseudomonadati; Pseudomonadota; Gammaproteobacteria; Oceanospirillales; Halomonadaceae.